RNAcentral lists this ribosomal RNA (471 nucleotides) under uncultured organism. RNAcentral describes it as "partial 16S ribosomal RNA". It matches the Rfam family "Bacterial small subunit ribosomal RNA", at positions 332 to 800 of the family's 1533-position model. The record is from RNAcentral.
UACACUCCUACGGGAGGCAGCAGUGAGGAAUAUUGGACAAUGGGUGGAAGCCUGAUCCAGCCAUCCCGCGUGCAGGAAGACGGCCCUAUGGGUUGUAAACUGCUUUUAUCUGGGGAUAAACCUACUUACGUGUAAGUAGCUGAAGGUACCAGAAGAAUAAGCACCGGCUACCUCCGUGCCAGCAGCCGCGGUAAUACGGAGGGUGCAAGCGUUAUCCGGAUUUAUUGGGUUUAAAGGGUCCGUAGGCGGACUGAUAAGUCAGUGGUGAAAUCCGACAGCUUAACUGUCGAACUGCCAUUGAUACUGUUAGUCUUGAGUAAGGUUGAAGUGGCUGGAAUAAGUAGUGUAGCGGUGAAAUGCAUAGAUAUUACUUAGAACACCAAUUGCGAAGGCAGGUCACUAAGUCUUAACUGACGCUGAUGGACGAAAGCGUGGGGAGCGAACAGGAUUAGAAACCCUAGUAGUCCCAGA